Molecule: ribosomal RNA, 729 nt
Filed under: uncultured bacterium
Lineage: Bacteria
Description: bacterial SSU rRNA
Rfam family: Bacterial small subunit ribosomal RNA
Source: RNAcentral
CAGGCCUAACACAUGCAAGUCGAGCGGUAGAAUAUUAAUUGACUCUUCGGAAGAUUUUAAUAUUUGAGAGCGGCGAACGGGUGAGUAACACGUUGGUAUCUGCCCCCAAGUCAGGGAUAGCCAUUGGAAACGAUGAUUAAUACCGGAUAGUCUCUUCGGAGUAAAGAUUUAUUGCUUGGGGAGGAGCCUGCGUUCUAUCAGCUUGUUGGUAGUGUAAAAGACUACCAAGGCUAUGACGGAUACCUGGUCUGAGAGGAUGAUCAGGCACAAUGGAACUGAGACACGGUCCAUACUCCUACGGGAGGCAGCAGUGAGGAAUCUUCCACAAUGGACGAAAGUCUGAUGGAGCGACACCGCGUGAAGGAUGAAGGCCUAACGGUUGUAAACUUCUUUUCUGAGGGAGCAUAAUGGGAGUACUUCAGGAAUAAGGGACGGCUAAAUACGUGCCAGCAGCCGCGGUAAUACGUAUGUCUCGAGCGUUACCCGGAAUCACUGGGUGUAAAGGGUUCGUAGGCGGAAUUAUAAGUCAGAUAUGAAAGACCGGAGCUCAACUCCGUGUUUGUGUUUGAAACUGUAGUUCUAGAAUUAGGGAGAGGUAAGCGGAAUUCUAAGUGUAGGGGUGCAAUCCGUAGAUACUUAGAGGAACACCAAAAGCGAAGGCAGCUUACUGGAACUAUAUUGACGCUGAGGAACGAAAGCGUGGGGAGCGAAAAGGAUUAGAUACCCUUG